GGCUGUGUUGCCUGUUCAGCUACUGUAGGUUACUCUCCCAUAUGGCUGAGUUGACUGUUCAGCUACUGUAUGUUACUCUCCAAUGCUACUGUAGGUUACUCUUCCAUCCUACUGUAGGUUACUCUCCCCCUUCUACUGUAGGUAACUCGCCCAUGCUACUGUAGGUUACUAUCUCAUGUUACUGUAGGUUACUCUCCCAUGUUACUGUAGGUUACUCUCCCAUGUUACUGUAGGUUACUCUCCCAUGCUACUGUAGGUUACUCUCCAAUGUUACUGUAGGUUUCUCUCCCAUGCUAUUAUAGGUUACUCUCCCAUGAUACUGUAGAUCACUCUCCCAUGCUCCUGUAGGUUACUCUACCAUGAUACUGUAGGUUACUCUCCCAUGCUACUGUAGGUUUCUCUCCCAUGCUAUUAUAGGUUACUCUCCCAUGAUACUGUAGAUCACUCUCCCAUGCUCCGUAGGUUACUCUACCAUGAUACUGUAGGUUACUCUCCCAUGUUACUGUAGGUUACUCUCCCAUGCUACUGUAGGUUACUCUCCCAUGCUACUGUAGGUCACUCUCCCAUGCUACUGUAGGUUACUCUCCCAUGUUACUGUAGGUUACUCUCCCAUGCUACUGUAGGUUACUCUCCCAUGUUACUCUCCCAUGCUACUGUAGGUUACUCUCCCAUGCUACUGUAGGUUACUCUCCCAUGCUACUGUAGGUUACUCUCCCAUGCUACUGUAGGUUACUCUCCCAUGCUACUGUAGGUCACUCUCCCAUGCUACUGUAGGUUACUCUCCCAUGUUACUGUAGGUUACUCUCCCAUUCUACUGUAGGUUACUCUCCCAUGAUACUGUAGGUUACUCUCCCAUGCUACUGUAGGUUACUCUCCCAUGCUACUGUAGGUUACUCUCCCAUGUUACUGUAGGUUACUCUCC
This is a long non-coding RNA of Oncorhynchus tshawytscha (Chinook salmon), 922 nucleotides long. NCBI's taxonomy places the organism in Eukaryota, Metazoa, Chordata, Actinopteri, Salmoniformes, Salmonidae. The record is from Ensembl.